Molecule: long non-coding RNA, 664 nt
Organism: Mytilus californianus (California mussel)
Lineage: Eukaryota; Metazoa; Mollusca; Bivalvia; Mytilida; Mytilidae
Exons: 2
Source: RefSeq, a predicted model, not a curated record
GAUUUUUUUUUUCCUUUUUUUUGCUUUAAAAUUUUUCAUUUUGAAUUGGUUAUUUCUGAUUUAUAUAUAAAAGCAAAUAAUAAUGAUAUGGUUUGAAUAGGCAUACAUGUGAACCUCCCGACGGGAGUACAAUAAUCCCGUUUUCAGGGGUCUCCUCCCGACCUCCCGUUGAAGAGGAAAAAAUCCCGUGUAUGAAAUUUUUCAUGAAUGAAAAAUUUCUGCCCAACAUAUCAUCUCAGGCAUCUGGUGUAACUGACAUUACCUGCAGUUAUAUUUUACCUGUAAAUCAAUUAACAUGCAUAAUUAUAUGGCUUCACUUGUCAGCUUGGGUGUCAAACAUACAGGUAAUCAACGAUUUUUACCUCAGGCUAACUGCCGUUGUGUAACAAAAACUGUGUAUUUAUUGGGUUACUUCCCUUGAUUUAUCCUGUUUUAAGUUACUUUCCUUUUAAUAAUGAAAAUUUUUAAAAGAAUAUAAAUAAAAUAUAAAUUGAACAAAUAAUCCUAAAAGGAUGGUUAUUAAAUGAUUUUAAAUGUCUUAGGACAAAUAAAAAAAUAAUAAUUUGAAAAUUAUUUGAGGAUUCUAGACUUCCUUUCAAGGCUUAAAUUGAAAUUUAUAUAAUAACUAUGACCCUGAUUUUACAGAUAAAAUGAUUUUCUGAGU